This is a long non-coding RNA of Thalassophryne amazonica, 358 nucleotides long. RefSeq lists it as uncharacterized. The record is from RefSeq and is a predicted model, not a curated record. NCBI's taxonomy places the organism in Eukaryota, Metazoa, Chordata, Actinopteri, Batrachoidiformes, Batrachoididae. The transcript is spliced from 3 exons.
CACAGAUAUAACAAUUUGCUUCUAUAUUUAAUCAACAUCUCUGCUCAUAAAUUAUCAGUUACAUUUUCUGAUAAUCAACAAGUGUUGAAAUUUCAGCUUCAUAUUUGUUUGUUUCUGCUGACAUUUAGAAGUUUUUACCUACAGGGUAUUUUAUUCCUUUUCCAAAAUAAAUGAAAGUCGAGAGGGUUUUGGCCAUCAUACAAACUAAUCACUAAUCAAGCUGUUAUCUUCAUUUUCAAAGGAGAAAAUCUUGAUUUUUCUGUUGUUGUACUGCCCAGUACAUGAAACAGUAAGGACAGUUGAUGAAAAUCACUCCAUAAGAAAUAGUGCAGCAGAUAACAGGAUAUAAAGUUUUCAA